UAUCGUUCUCAUUUUCUUCAAACUUUUCCUUAAUCUCUCUUGGGAAAUAUGUUUUCAUAAAAUUCAUCAAGGCGUGAUCAAUAUUGCGAGAAUCGGCUUUCAUAACUUCUUUGGCACGACACAACGGACAGAAAUCAACUUUCUGUUUCUGAAGAAUGAUAAGGCAAUGCAAACAAAAAACAUGGGAACAACCUAAUCUCACCGGCUUGUAAGCAACGUUAGAGCAUAUAGCGCAUUCAAAAUCCCUCAGUUGAGGAAUAAUCGAGAAUAGCUUAGAAGAGAGUGAAAAGCAUAUAGCUUUAGAAGCAUUGUCGACCAAAAGAAGAGGGUCUGAUUCGAUAACUUGA
This is a non-coding RNA of Schizosaccharomyces pombe (fission yeast), 347 nucleotides long. The record is from the annotation of a GenBank genome assembly. Lineage: Eukaryota; Fungi; Ascomycota; Schizosaccharomycetes; Schizosaccharomycetales; Schizosaccharomycetaceae.